CAGGAUAUAGCUAAGCUAAUAAAGCAUCUCUCUUACACUGAGAAGACAUCUGUGUAAAUCAGAUUGUCCUGA
This 72-nucleotide transfer RNA is filed under the name Bathygadus favosus. Its description in RNAcentral is "tRNA-Val". It matches the Rfam family "tRNA". Rfam says of the family: Transfer RNA (tRNA) molecules are approximately 80 nucleotides in length. Their secondary structure includes four short double-helical elements and three loops (D, anti-codon, and T loops). The record is from RNAcentral. Lineage: Eukaryota; Metazoa; Chordata; Actinopteri; Gadiformes; Macrouridae.